UAGAGGCCAGUUCUCCUCUUCAGCGGCCGAGCUCGCUCCUGCCCAAGUGUUUUUCGGGUGCGGCAACCAUGCGCGCGGCCAGCCGCCGCGAGAUCCACCCUGGCCAGCGAGCCACCAUCGCUCGGAGUCUCUGCGCUCCGCGUUUCGCGUAGAAGAAACCACCGUGUGCGUUUUCAGCCAAGGAAGAAAGUAGAAAUGACGUGGGGUCCACUCUACAUGGCCGCAUGCACGCAAAUCCCACCACCGUACACACAUCGUGCAACAACCGCAUGCAUGAGCCCCUUGCAUGUGAUGCAAACGACACCUCCGUAUGUGCUUGCAAAUUGCCUGGCCCCACCCACAUGCAUCCACGAGAUCCUAGAAACCAGCCCUCACAAUGGAUCCCACAUCUUCUAUGACCGUUUUUCAUGUGGUCCAUCGUAUGGUUAGCCUUCCACCAAUAGAAUCGUGCCACGUAGUCUAAAUUCAAGAAACACUAGUUAUUCAAUAUAUAUGUUGCGCUGCGAGUCCGUCUCGACUCGUUUCAGUCGUAGCAACUUCGUAAUAACCUCAACUACAUGUUAGUAAUAUUAUUUGGUCGUAACGCAUGUUUUCGUUAAUUAGGUAGUUAAACUGAGGUUUAUUUGAACUUAAAAUUAAGGUAUAGUUUUAAAUGGUGAUUUUAUAGAUGCAAAUUAAUGUGGUUAAUGCCGACUCAGAUGUUUUCAACUAAUAUUUGUUUAAUGUAAAUGUAACGUCUGUUUAGCUUUUCUCGCGUAUCGCGCGUGUCGUUCGCGCGUGUCGUGCGUGCUGUUUCACACGUGUUGUCCGCACGUAUCGCGUGUGAGGAUCGUGCGUGUUCGCACGUCGUCGCGCAUUGUUCGCGCACUAUCGCUUUGCUCGCACGUUGCCGCGCGAGUGUUCGCGUGUCAUUCGCGCGCUGUUUGCGCGUCGUUGUCACUUCCUUCGCGCGUUCGUGUCGCACGUCUAGUUCGUGUGUCGCGCGGCGUCUGCGCGUAAUAAAUUGUUGUCACUUGUAAACGCUCAUGUUAAUAACGUUAAUUCGUCAGGUCACAUAUUUUGGAUAAUUAACUUAAAGUCUGCUCGACUAAUAUGUAUUAGAUUAAUAUUCUAAUUAGAUUAAAUAUGUAGUGUUCAACUCGUGCUUGUAGAAUAAACAUUAACAUGGAUAAUAUUAACUUAACUACUUAUUAAAUAAUUAUUUAGUAUAAACGCGUCACGUAUUUAGUCUUUCUCGCCUGUUGCACGAGUUGUUCCGCACGUGGUGUCGUGCUGAUUCGCGCGUCGUUCGCGCUGGUCGCACACACUGUUUCGUGUGUCGUCAGUGUGCUAUGGCGCACGUGUCCGCGUGUCGUUCGCACGCUGCCGUGAUGUUUCGCUCAUCGUAAAUUCGCCUCGCUUAGAAUCUCUCGUUUUAAUUAAAUUAUUGGUUUAAUUGAUAGCUGCUAGUGUAGCAGGUUAAGCGAAACUAAAUAUUAGAUAUAACUUAUAUUGGGUAAUAUCGAAUUAAAUGUUAUAAUUGAUAUUGAUUUAGCGUAAACACGAUAUCUUCCCGACCGUAGCUUCGAGUUCGAUAAUUCUUUUUUCCUCGCGUGACCGUAGUAACGCACUCUAUUUCGUUUUGCAUAUUUUAUUAUGUUCUUAUUUUAAUGGUGUAAUGUUCUUAUGCAUAUAUAUAUAUGUUUGUUUGUACCUGUUUGUAUUCGUUGUGCGUCGCGAAUAGAUUGCGAUCCGUUUCUGAGCUUUGAGGGAUCAAAGAUCAAGAGUUGGCGACCAAGUGAUCUGGUUCUUCGAGUUCUACGAGAUUCAAGACCCUGAGCAUCUGUUUGGUGAAGACAAGUGUCCUCUGACCCAUUAUGUCUCAUUUACUUUAUAAUACACUGUCCCGCAUACUAUGAACAACCUAAGGAUUUACUAGCUUUCUAUUUACCUUGUCCUUGAUUUACCUUUUGGGUUAGUAUGGUUAGCUACAUGCUAGCGCUUUACUUUAAUCAAUGAACAUGAUGAGAUACAAUGAUGAUACUAUGAUUUUAUUCUGGAUAUGAUGAUAUACUUGUGGCAUUUAAGGGGACUAAGGCUGUUUCCCGAGUACCUCUCCGUAAGGACCUGUUCGUUGAGAGACCACCUGGGAUAACAGUGCAAUCAUGAGGGUGAAAUGGGAUGCCCUUAGCUAAUUAAUUAGAGGAACUAGAGGUGUAGUUGCUUCGCCGUCGUGCCGUCAAUGGGGUCCAGGCACAGUGCUUGCUCUACCGAGGCUGAGUGCCGAGGUUCUUUCGUUUUGCUUUUGUUAGUCACCCUCCUGCGGGGAGAGGUACUGUGUUUAUCAAACUGGAGAAACCUAACGGGCGGCUAUGACCUCUAGUGAAUCUUUGUAAAAGCUACGUAGUGAUACCCUGCCGGACCACCUAGGAAGUGAUCAAUGGGGAGUCAUGAUCCCCGGGCAAAACGGGAAUCACGGCUCAUGGGUAAAGUGUGCGACCUCUGCAGAGGAUUAGAAACUGAUAUAUCAGUCGUGCUCACGGUUAUGAGCGGCCUUGGGAUCCUCUUUGAUUAGAGAUACAUAUGAUCGAGAUACAAUGGUUCUAUUUAUGGUUUUGGUCCGAUGAUGAUAAUGAUGCUUCCUCGAUGAGGAAAUGGUUCACGGGUUGGUUAUGUGAUAAAACUUGGCUUCCACUAAUAAUAAACACCUGGCCAACUAAAAGCAACUGCUUGAGCUUAACUCCACAUAAAGCUAGUCCACCUCAGCCAAACAGGACAUUUGCUGAGUACGUUGAUGUGUACUCACCCUUGCUUUCACAAAACACCAGGAUGCCUUUGGUGCAAUCUAUGCACAGGUAAAGAAGAAGGCGUCGAGGCGGUUCUCCAGGAGUUCCAGGACUUCGACGAGUUCGAGGAUUAGGCUAGCGACCUCCCCCAGUCAGCUGCCUGUGGUGGGUUUAUUUACAUUGGCUACGUUUCGAUUCUGUGUACUUUGAUUCAUAUUAUGUAAAUGACUCUAGUCUUUAAUAUCAUUAUUUAUUCUUUAUUGUUAUUCGAAGCAUUGUGCUAUGAUGAGUCAUUUAUGUAAUCGCUGUGUACGUGAAUUUCUGAUCCUGGCACGUACAUGGUUCGCAUUCGGUUUACCUUCCAAAACCGGGUGUGACAUAAGUGGUAUCAAAGCCAGGCUGACUAUAGGACCGCUGACCUAGAGUAACAUUGACCGUUUUAAGGACUUAUUGACUUUUACUUCACCCCAUCCUUGAUGCUGCUUCAAAAUAUUAGUCACCUCGACUAAUUCUAUGUUAUGCUUCUAUAUAUCACCUUGCCAAAUGUAUUUUGUUCUAAUAUUGUCUAUGCUUCACCUAUUCAUUCUAUUAGAUCUGAUCUCACUCUUGUGCUUGCGACAUCUUUGUAGAUGCCCCCUGAUCAUAACCUUCUUGUCUUUUGGGAUUCUUUUUGUCUUCCAUUAUUAAAUUGCUACCAUUUGACCAUAUCUAUUCCAUUGGUAUUGACUUGCUGCAUCUUUUGGAUUCUUCCAUACCCUUAUCCCUUAAUUCAAAUACUUAACCCUGAAAACUCUGUUGCCCAUAUAAACAUUCUAGUUUAUAUUUUCAUGCCCUUCCUGUCUUUUGAGAUCCCUUUCUAUUCUGUUGUUAAGUCAUUAUCUUUCGAUAAUUUCUAUGCCCUUGGUCUUAGUAUGCUCGUAUCCUUGGAGUCUUACAUACUCUUAUAUUCUUAUGUAUGCUUAUUUUCAUACCCCAAUAACUGUUCAAGACAUUUCAGUUAACAUGUCCUUGACCACCCCUGUUUCUUAACGGUCCAUGAGCGAUCAUUUUAUGUUGCCCAUCCUUGGUGAUCUCAUUGUUCCUUUAUAACUUCUCUCGAUAAUGAAUUCUUACUUCAACCAUUCUAUUGCACCCUCACCUAUCUUACCUUGAUUAUUUUGUCCACUUCGCCAUUUCGCGAGUCUUGCCUUAACUCUAUCCUUUGUUAUGCCUUUCAUUAUUAUCACAUUCAUCUUUGACACCUCUAUACCUUACCUUGAUGCCUAUCUUAUACCUGCGCUCCAAAACCUUCUCUCUUUCGUCACAAUUUUAAACAUUGAAGGUUACCUAUUUUCCCUCAGUUUGUAUCCUAUUCCUUGUCGCUUGCGAGUUUUUAACUCCAUCCUUUGUUAUCUGUUACUACCUUUACCUUCGCCGUCUCUCCAUCUUACCUUGAUGACUAUCUUAUGUCUGUUAUUUAAAGUUCCCUCUCUCAUCUCAAUUCGAGGGAAGUGUUUUACUUAUCCUGCCCUUGGUCGGAACCUCGUCUUCGCUAGGUGUGAGUCUUAUCUUAACUCCAUUCUUUGUUGUACUCAUACCACUGGCUCUUUUAUGCCUUCAUCUUUUCUCAUAUACCCUUGUCUGUUAUCGCCUUUGACCCUUGCGAUAUCUAUGUCUUCUACCUAAAUGCUUACCUCGAGCUUAUCUUUUAAAAGCCUCCCCUUUCCUUCAGCCCAGUUUGAGAGUUGUGGGUUACCUAUCUCUCCCUUGAUUUCUUUUCACUUCUUGUCGCCUUACGAGUUUUGCCUUAAUUCCAUCCUUUGCUAUGUGUUUUAUUUGCUAUCACCAUCUCCUUGUCAUCCAUCGAUCUUGCCUUGAUACUCAUCUUUAUGCUGGCUCUUUAAAAUCUCCUCUCUUCCACCUCAAUUGGAGAGUGGCAAUUUACCUAUCUGGCCCCUGGACGUACCCUCUCCUUUUCCAUUCGCAUGUCUUGUCUUAACUCCAUCCUUUGUGGUAUUUAUAUUCUUGGUUCUUAUGCACAUUUACCUCCUCUCCUACAUCCUUGCCCGUUAUCACCUUUAAACCCUCGUGGUACCUAUGCCCUUGCCCACAUGCUUAUCUUGAACCUACCCUUUAAAGCCACCUCUUUUUCAUCGCUGUCGGAGGAUAAUACCUCACCCACUUCACCAUUGAUUGCUUUCCCUUCUUUGAUGCCUCACAGGUUUUUUUUCUAUAUACAUCAUUUGUUGUGUGUUUGUCCGUUAUCACCUUAACCCAUGUCAUCCUUCGAUCAUUACUUUGAUGCUUGUCAUGUACCUGCAUUUUAAAGCCGCCUCCCCCAUUUCAUUUCAAGAGUGUUGUCAUACCCCUCCCCGCUCUUGUUCGUUCCCUAUUCCUAUGUCGCGUUGCAAGUCUUAGCUUUUGUUUGAUGUCGCCCUUACCUUCCUAAUAUCUAGAUCUUUCCAUGAUGCUUCUCCUAUGCCUACCUUUUGAAACAUCACCUUUCCCAUCUCGAUUUGAGAAUGGUGUUUACCUACCCUGCCCUUGGUUGCAUUUUCUCCCUUGUAACUAUGAUCCUUGCUUUAGCUCCAUCCUUUAUUAUGCUCAUGCCCCUCCAUGUCUUAUUAUUCCCCUUGCCUUUUAUUGGCCUUAGAGUAGUUUCCCUUUUUAAGGAAAGACCACCAUUUAAUUAAAAGUUACGUAUAGCAAUGAGAUGUUUGUUGUUGUAUGCUUGUGCUGUUUGUCUUUGUGUUAUGACUGAUUUGCUUCUUUGUGAUGAGUGUUGGUGUGUUGUGGCCCUGGGUCCGCAAUGACAUCAGUUUACCAGGUAAGUGCCAUAUAGUUAAUUAGUUGGGUUCUCCCCCUACUCUCUCUAAUCCGUCUAUACUUACCUUUUCUCGCUACCCUUUCCUCUUGCACCUGUCCGGUCGGCAUCCUCCAACUCCUUCAAAUCAGUCAAGAUCAGAGUCGGUAGCAUCUUCAUCAAGUGUGUAUCAACGCUCCUGUUAAGGGGGUUAGCCGCUAACCCCAAUGAAGACAAUGUGAUCCACGUCAACCAACAAGAUCAGAGUGGCGCAACGAAAGCGUGUGUGGGUCCAACCCACAGGUCAAAGAGAUCUUCAUGAAUUGCAUCAAUCGGUCUCAAGCACCUGAAGGUCAAAGCAACCAGUCCGCAAGUUAAAGCUGACAGAGUCAAAGCUGGGUUAGAAGAAGCUAUGAAACACUAAUAAACCAAUCUCAUUUUCUUGCUAGCCUCUUCUUGAAUCUCGAGGACGAGAUUCUGUUAAGGGGGUUUGAUCUGUAACACCCUGAUUUUAGGGGUAUAAAAUUUCUUUUUAAAUAUCCACCAAAUUCAGGUGUUACUCUCUCAGCUCUUCGCUCUUCUUCUCUUUUUCCUAAAAGUGGAGAAUUAUUUUGUUUUAUAUAGGCAUUAACUUAGUGAAAUAAAAGCCUAGCUAGAGAAGCUUUGAUUGUUGUAUUCAUGUCGUUGCAUAUUGUUUAUGGGUGUAAAAGGUUUUUGAAACAUAAAAAGAUUAUCUCGACAGUGUUUUUAGGGAUUGCUGGGACUUUCGAAAUGUUUCUCCGAGUAUUAAAAUAUGAAUUUUUAGUCUUUCUAAUAUUAAUUAAAUACCAAAAAUGUAGUAGUUGCAAAAACUAUAAGUUUUUUUGGAAACUCGAUAAUAUGUAUAUAUAUUUCUCUUCCUCUCGUCGAUCCGUUCCCGAUCUCGUGCUCUUUUUCAUGAGAUCAUCGAACUGCUUCUUCUCGCGAACGGCAUGCUGCUCGCGUCAUCGACAUAAUCCUUGUCUAUCCCCGUCUACCCCUUCGCCUUCCACCCGUCAUCUCGGAUCCGCGAGCCAGCUCUAACCAUUUUCGUCUAAUUUUAUCUAACCCUUUCUACCAUCCGUCUGACUCAGCCUCCGUCGUACACUGUAUCGCGCAACUCGUCGCGUGACCAUCUUUUUUCGCUCGGCCAUGACGCGGCAUGCGACAAAUUUUACAACCGUCUUCCACAUCCUCUCUCUUCUAUAAAUACAUCCCUAGCCGUCAGAAAGCUCCUCGUCUCACCCCAGAUCCAUGAAGGGCAGCGGUUACCAGGUACGCAGGACCCUCUCCUUCUCCCUCUCUUCCUCGUAGACCCCUAAGCUCGCGGUAGCGACGACCUGCGCGCGCAGAUUAGGCCACCAGCAUGCGCGGCACCUCCGUCAUGCUCCUCAUCGCGACGCGUUACCUUCCUAGAGCCGAGCGCGUGUGAAUCCUGGCCGGAACCCCCGCUCGACUUCUUGACCAGGACGCGAAAACACCUCCAGGCAAACGACCGCGUCGCGGCAAGGCAAGGCGAUGCCCCUGCGCGUGCUAUAGCUUGGCCGGCCAGGAGGCCAUGGCGCGCGGCCAGCCCGGCGUUCCUACAAGCAGCACAGCACCCUGUGACCCGCCCUGACGCGGCCAUGGCUAGAGGCCAGUUCUCCUCUUCAGCGGCCGAGCUCGCUCCUGCCCAGGUGUUUUUCGGGUGCGGCAACCAUGCGCGCGGCCAGCCGCCGCGAGAUCCACCCCUGCCAGCGAGCCACCAUCGCUCGGAGUCUCUGCGCGUCCACGUUUCGCGUAGAAGAAACCACCGUGUGCGUUUUCAGCCAAGGAAGAAAGUAGAAAUGAUGUGGGGUCCACUCUGCAUGGCCGCAUGCACGCAAAUCCCACCACCGUACACACAUCGUGCAACAACCGCAUGUGUGAGCCCCUUGCAUGCGAUGCAAACGACACCUCCGUAUGUGCUUGCAAAUUGCCUGGCCCCACCCACAUGCAUCCACGAGAUCCUAGAAACCAG
Molecule: long non-coding RNA, 7564 nt
Filed under: Zea mays
Lineage: Eukaryota; Viridiplantae; Streptophyta; Magnoliopsida; Poales; Poaceae
Description: long non-coding RNA (ZMAY_LNC000188)
Source: RNAcentral